CACACACACACACACACACACACACACACACACACACACACACACACCAGCUCUCCUUAGUCUAAAAACCCUUCAAAUGCUCUUUCUAAGUAAGUUGAUGCAGUUAAAAUGUUAUCAAGUUCUCACCUGAAGCUCAGUUUACUGUAAGCAACGCCACACACCCUACCAAUUUUAUCAUUAAGAUUUAUGCUUUAUUUGACUAUAAAUAAUCCCAAGUGACUCAGAGAGUGGACAUUGGCCAGAUCAAGGUCUGAUUCGUAGAUGUUUCCUGAGGAAGGUCUAGAGAGAGUCCUGUGGGUGCCUGAGUGUGACGUCACAUUUUCUGACCUCAGAGCUUCAUUUCCAGAAACAGCAGCUUCUCUCGAACAUAGGCAUCUUUGCCAUGUAUCAUAAAUUCCCACAAUAAAAUGGAUAUAAUUGGCAUAACAAUUGAAAAUAAUUAACGAUACCUAUUGUAUAGGUGUUUAUCACUGUAACCUUAGUUUGUAAAUAUAAUGUGAUACAGAUAAUUACAUAACUCCACACCCAGCCUGGAAAUGUUUUUAGGGAGUGUUCGAAGUUUAUAGAAACAGAGGAGCUGUGUCCUAAGGAUCCCUGUGAACAACAUUCAGAGUUCUCCCGAUGUCCCUGUGCUCUGUGCCCCCAUGACAAUGAUACUGAGCAGCUCUGGCCCUGCGGCCAGAAACAUGGCGGAUCUUGGGAACAGGAAAAAGAGGGGGAGAGGUGUAAGCAUAUAGCGGUAACUAGGGAGAAAAUGGAGGCCAGGCAUGGUUUGGGUGUGUUGUGUGUUAGGAAUGGUUUUCUUAGAGGAAAAAGAAAAAAAGCUAGGUCGAGGGAGCAGCUCAGAGGUAGCAAGCUUGUGUGUGUAUCUCUCCCUCCUCCCCUCUGAGAAGAGAAAAGAAAGGGGAGGGGGUAGAGUUGUAAAACGAUGUUGCUUGGUGCAAAGCAUGCUCAUGACCUGGAAAAGGAAGUCCAUUUUCAUUUUAAGAAAAGUUCCAGCAAGGGCCUGGAACCUGUUGGGCCCUGUUCCGAAAUCUGUUUCUCUGUGUCCUCAAGGAGAGAAGCAAGGUGCAGUGAAAUUAAUGUUGUUAUUGUUUUCAAUAGGAAGUGGAAGAGGGUCUGGGUGAGGGCAGGGGACCAGAGCGAUGCCUUCCUUGAGGCACCUGCCAGCAAGGGCUGGAGCUGUUUCUAUGGCAAGUCACUAGAUGCAGAAGAGAAAGCAGUUCGUUGCACACGCAGGGACUACCACCACAAAGCCCCUGCAGGUCUGUAGCCGUAACUCACACACCUCUCAAAGCAGCUUGGGUGAAGUCAGAGGUACAGAAAUGAGCACAGCCAUGCAGCCCAGGGACACCAUGCAUUCUUGCUCUCUAUUCCAGGGAAUACUAAUACCUCCUCUAUACAAGUUUUAAAGCCCCCUUAGCAACAAAUACUUCUGUGUAAUUUCUCUCUUGAAAAGAUCUAAUACAAAUCUAGUUGAUCUACCCAUCAAACUUAGCGGAGAGCUGGACUGAAAAUGUAACUACCGAUAGGAUGCUUGCCAGGCACAUGGGAGGCCCUGGGUUUAGUCUCAGGUACCACAAAAUAAGUAAGGAGAAAAAGAAAGAAAGGUUUCUUUGGCCCUUCCUUCUGUUGGGUGCAUCUCCCCUUAAUUGCUUCACAUGGCUGUGCCUCGGUAAACACUCCACUUACUACCGUGUCGGACAUCCUGUCUGCACCUGAGAGCAGCUCUGUACUCAACUAAAGCUGUCAAGUACUUCAAGGCUCUCAGACUUUGAGAGAGUCUGUUUUGCAUCUUAAUAAUUAUUUACCCAGGUUCCUUAUAAUUAACUCCUCUAGUCUUUCAGAUUAAAUCAAUUUCACAUUGCAAGUCUGCGUUACUCUGGAAAGCUGCCAACUUUCCCACUCUUGAAUCAGAUUGUUCAAAGAUGCAUCUAUCUCCCUGUCUGGGCUUGCAAACGUUCAUCUUGAGGAACUUCCACCCUUUAGUGCCCGGCCUUCCACCCUCCCCUUGCUUGCUGCUGCUUCCUGGUGAAUGGCUCACUGUGCUGGGCGAAUGUGCCUUUAUCUUCUAUUCAUCUCAUCUUCCACACACUGCUAGCAUCUCAUAACCUCAACACCAUACAGGAGUGAUUAAGACUUUAAUUUUUCAACAUUGAAACGGCAACAACAUAGCAAUCUGGGGUCAGUUAUAUUUAGGAGGCUCUGUAAUUAAUUUUGUUAUUACCUCUUGGAGGAAAGCCCAAAAUGAUAUGAGAAAAUACUGUGAAACGUUUUAACAGAUGUCCAGCAAUACAAAAAUAGGGCACUCAUGAUCCACUGCACAGUGCUUCUCUUAGCUCCGUGUUAAGGCUCUAACUCCUUAUAUUAAACACUUUCUGAUCCCCUC
This 2389-nucleotide long non-coding RNA is filed under the name Mus musculus (house mouse). RNAcentral describes it as "long non-coding RNA chr10:116384795-116387184". Lineage: Eukaryota; Metazoa; Chordata; Mammalia; Rodentia; Muridae. The record is from RNAcentral.